Long non-coding RNA from Cyprinus carpio (common carp), 1035 nucleotides. RefSeq lists it as uncharacterized. The record is from RefSeq and is a predicted model, not a curated record. The transcript has 3 exons. Lineage: Eukaryota; Metazoa; Chordata; Actinopteri; Cypriniformes; Cyprinidae.
UUGUCUUCAUUUCUGAAGGAGACAGUAUGAGAACAGCUGCUAGUAAUGUUCUUUUUGUACUGUAUAAUGUUCUGCUAAAAAAUAAAUAUUUUAAUUACAGAAUAUACCCUCUGUUGACCCCUGCUACAACUACACUGUGCUGGACAAUCCAUGGAGAGCCACUAACAUAUAUGCUUCUGGCAGUAAUUGUGACCGUAUGUCACUUCCUGGAGUGGCUGGUAUCGCCUCUUCAUUAACAACAUGAGCCAGCCAGAUCCCAGACACGUGCAGUUGCUCAGUACAGCUGUGGCACUGCUGCCCCACUGUGGAUUCGGGGUGGACACCCAACAGUUGAAGAUGGAGUCGUCACUGAGAUGUCUGCGGUCACUAUAACAAUUACUGCUGCUUUUUCGGUCUUUUCCCAUUAAAGUCAAAGCCUGUCCAGGCAAUUAUUAUGUCUAUGAGCUGGUUAGACCAACUCUCUGCAAUUCAGCAUACUGUGCAGUGUAUUCUUCUGCUGACCCCUGCUACAACUACACUGUGCUGGACGAUCCGCGGAGAGCCAACAGCAGUCACCUAUCAAGCUCCUCCAAGUGUGACAGUGAUCUCACCUCGAGAGGCUGGUAUCGCUCUUCAUUAACAACAUGAGCCUCAGAUCCCAGACACAUGUGUUGAAAAGUACAGCUGUGGCACUCAUGUCCCACUGUGGAUCUCGCGAUGGACACCCAACAGUUGAAGAUGGAGUCGCCACCGAGAUGUCUGUGGUCACUGGAUCAUUAUUGCUGCUUUUUUUGGGUCUUUACCCAUUAAAGUCAAAGCCUGUCCAGACAAUUAUUAUGUCUAUGAGCUGGUUAGACCUACUAUCUGCUAUUCAGCAUACUGUGCAGUUGUUACUAACAUCAGCAGCACUCAUACAACAGUCAGACCAGAGACGCAGCACAGCUGGUAAUGUAGUCUGAUAUUUCCUCUGUUGAUUUGUGUUUUGAUUGAAUGUUUGUGGAUCAUUGCAGAUAUUUUCAUUUUCGAGGUUGAUGCAUUAGUAUGAUGGUAUGAUUG